UGGUUAUUGAGAAAUGGCUGUGCUUUCAAAAUGCAGCACAUACAGAAUACAGCAUAGUGCUGUCUGGGUUGUGGUGAAGUUAUAGAGUCAUUAACCCUCAGUUCUGCUAGGUUGUACUGCUGUUAUGGUGGAACUUUGAAGAAGAGAAGCAGAUGUGUGCACUCUGCUGCAGGCAGACGUCCUAUCUGGGACUAUUUGCAUCACAUGGAGGAUUUGCUUUUAUUAAAACCUGUCUUUGGGGAAAAUAAUGAAUGGCAGAGUCUCUUGAGAUAUGCUGCAAUGUAUGCCUAAAAGCUGGAAUCUUCUACCAUAUCUUUGUCAAGGGUAAGAUAGAGAUAAGUUAUUUUUUUGAAAGUGGCAGUCAAAAAAUUAGGAGG
Molecule: long non-coding RNA, 377 nt
Filed under: Zonotrichia albicollis (white-throated sparrow)
Lineage: Eukaryota; Metazoa; Chordata; Aves; Passeriformes; Passerellidae
Description: lncRNA (ENSZALG00000017962.1)
Source: RNAcentral